This is an unclassified non-coding RNA of Papio anubis (olive baboon), 149 nucleotides long. It matches the Rfam family "Metazoan signal recognition particle RNA". Rfam says of the family: The signal recognition particle (SRP) is a universally conserved ribonucleoprotein. It is involved in the co-translational targeting of proteins to membranes. Lineage: Eukaryota; Metazoa; Chordata; Mammalia; Primates; Cercopithecidae. The record is from Ensembl.
GCUGGGUGUGGUGGUGCACACCUGUAAUCCCAGCUUCUCAGGAGGCUGAGGCAGGAGAAUUACUUGAACCCUGGGAGGCAGAGGUUGCAGUGAGCUGAGAUCAUGCCACUGCACUCCAGCCUGGGUGACAGAGUGAGUCUCUCUCUCUC